AGAGUUUGAUCCUGGCUCAGAAUCAACGCUGGCGGCGUGCCUAACACAUGCAAGUCGAACGAGAAAGUGGAGCAAUCCAUGAGUACAGUGGCGUACGGGUGAGUAACACGUGACUAACCUACCCUCGAGUGGGGAAUAACCUCGGGAAACCGGGGCUAAUACCGCAUAACAUCUACGGAUCAAAUGCGCAAGCAGCUUGAGGAGGGGGUCGCGGCCGAUUAGCUAGUUGGCGGGGUAAUGGCCCACCAAGGCAAUGAUCGGUAGCCGGCCUGAGAGGGCGCACGGCCACACUGGAACUGAAACACGGUCCAGACUCCUACGGGAGGCAGCAGUGGGGAAUUUUGCGCAAUGGGGGAAACCCUGACGCAG
RNAcentral lists this ribosomal RNA (369 nucleotides) under uncultured bacterium. Its description in RNAcentral is "bacterial SSU rRNA". It matches the Rfam family "Bacterial small subunit ribosomal RNA", at positions 8 to 391 of the family's 1533-position model. The record is from RNAcentral.